This 403-nucleotide ribosomal RNA is filed under the name bacterium. RNAcentral's name for it is "partial 16S ribosomal RNA". It matches the Rfam family "Bacterial small subunit ribosomal RNA", at positions 355 to 776 of the family's 1533-position model. The record is from RNAcentral.
UGGGGAAUAUUGCACAAUGGAGGGAACUCUGAUGCAGCGACGCCGCGUGAACGAAGAAGGCUUUCGAGUCGUAAAGUUCUUUUAUAUGGGAAGAUAAUGACGGUACCAUAAGAAAAAGCCCCGGCUAACUACGUGCAAGCAGCCGCGGUAAUACGUAGGGGGCUAGCGUUGUCCGGAAUCACUGGGCGUAAAGGGUUCGCAGGCGGAAAUGCAAGUCAGGUGUAAAAGGCAGUAGCUUAACUACUGUAAGCAUUUGAAACUGCAUAUCUUGAGAAGAGUAGAGGUAAGUGGAAUUUUUAGUGUAGCGGUGAAAUGCGUAGAUAUUAAAAAGAAUACCGGUGGCGAAGGCGACUUACUGGGCUCAUUCUGACGCUGAGGAACGAAAGCGUGGGUAGCAAACAGG